This 700-nucleotide ribosomal RNA is filed under the name Streptomyces plicatus. Its description in RNAcentral is "bacterial SSU rRNA". It matches the Rfam family "Bacterial small subunit ribosomal RNA", at positions 164 to 875 of the family's 1533-position model. Lineage: Bacteria; Bacillati; Actinomycetota; Actinomycetes; Kitasatosporales; Streptomycetaceae. The record is from RNAcentral.
UAAUACCGGAUACUGAUCCUCGCAGGCAUCUGCGAGGUUCGAAAGCUCCGGCGGUGCAGGAUGAGCCCGCGGCCUAUCAGCUAGUUGGUGAGGUAACGGCUCACCAAGGCGACGACGGGUAGCCGGCCUGAGAGGGCGACCGGCCACACUGGGACUGAGACACGGCCCAGACUCCUACGGGAGGCAGCAGUGGGGAAUAUUGCACAAUGGGCGAAAGCCUGAUGCAGCGACGCCGCGUGAGGGAUGACGGCCUUCGGGUUGUAAACCUCUUUCAGCAGGGAAGAAGCGAAAGUGACGGUACCUGCAGAAGAAGCGCCGGCUAACUACGUGCCAGCAGCCGCGGUAAUACGUAGGGCGCAAGCGUUGUCCGGAAUUAUUGGGCGUAAAGAGCUCGUAGGCGGCUUGUCACGUCGGUUGUGAAAGCCCGGGGCUUAACCCCGGGUCUGCAGUCGAUACGGGCAGGCUAGAGUUCGGUAGGGGAGAUCGGAAUUCCUGGUGUAGCGGUGAAAUGCGCAGAUAUCAGGAGGAACACCGGUGGCGAAGGCGGAUCUCUGGGCCGAUACUGACGCUGAGGAGCGAAAGCGUGGGGAGCGAACAGGAUUAGAUACCCUGGUAGUCCACGCCGUAAACGGUGGGCACUAGGUGUGGGCAACAUUCCACGUUGUCCGUGCCGCAGCUAACGCAUUAAGUGCCCCGCCUG